CAAGAUAGAGCAUGAAUAUGCGUUUCACUUACAAUGAAAAUAUAGAACCCCUUUUCUUAUCUUGA
RNAcentral lists this transfer RNA (65 nucleotides) under Perinereis aibuhitensis. RNAcentral's name for it is "tRNA-Val". The record is from RNAcentral. Lineage: Eukaryota; Metazoa; Annelida; Polychaeta; Phyllodocida; Nereididae. RNAcentral also lists the same sequence under 1 other name.